Molecule: transfer RNA, 84 nt
Filed under: Omnitrophica WOR_2 bacterium GWA2_37_7
Lineage: Bacteria; Pseudomonadati; Candidatus Omnitrophota
Also listed under: 6 other names
Description: tRNA-Leu
Rfam family: tRNA
About the family: Transfer RNA (tRNA) molecules are approximately 80 nucleotides in length. Their secondary structure includes four short double-helical elements and three loops (D, anti-codon, and T loops).
Source: RNAcentral
GGGCGGAUGGUGAAAUGGUAGACACGCUAGUCUUAGGAACUAGUGCCGCAAGGCAUGGAGGUUCAAGUCCUCUUCCGCCCACUA